UACGUAGGGUCCAAGCGUUAAUUGGAAUUACUGGGCGUAAAGCGUGCGCAGGCGGUUUUAUAAGCCAGAUGUGAAAUCCCCGGGCUUAACCUGGGAAUGGCAUUUGGGACUGCAAGGCUUGAGUGCGGCAGAGGAGACUGGAAUUCCCGGUGUAGCAGUGAAAUGCGUAGAUAUCGGGAGGAAUACCGGUGGCGAAGGCGGCGACCUGGGUCGAGACUGACGCUGAGGCGCGAAAGCGUGGGGAGCAAACAGG
RNAcentral lists this ribosomal RNA (253 nucleotides) under uncultured bacterium. RNAcentral's name for it is "partial 16S ribosomal RNA". It matches the Rfam family "Bacterial small subunit ribosomal RNA", at positions 524 to 776 of the family's 1533-position model. The record is from RNAcentral.